UACCAGCACCCCGAGUGGUCGGGACGAUUAUUGGGCCUAAAGCAUCCGUAGCCGGCCUUACAAGUCCUCCGUUAAAUCCAGCUGCUUAACAGAUGGGCUGCGGAAGAUACUAUAAGACUAGGAGGCAGGAGAGGCAAGCGGUACUCAGUGGGUAGGGGUAAAAUCCUUUGAUCCAUUGAAGACCACCAGUGGCGAAGGCGGCUUGCCAGAACGCGCUCGACGGUGAGGGAUGAAAGCUGGGGGAGCAAACCGG
This 253-nucleotide ribosomal RNA is filed under the name uncultured bacterium. Its description in RNAcentral is "partial 16S ribosomal RNA". It matches the Rfam family "Archaeal small subunit ribosomal RNA", at positions 474 to 727 of the family's 1478-position model. The record is from RNAcentral.